CCUGAGAAACCGAAAGUUCGAAUGUGGGGAGAUUCAUCGUCAGCGAUUUUGGCUCUUAUGCGGCUCGCGAUGCCGGAGACUUCGGUCUUCAGGCACUCGUCCGCAUGGUAUUAUUGCCUUAAACGUCGGCGUGCACUUCUCCCCUAGUAGGACGUCGCGACCCGUUGGGUGUCGGUCUACGGCCUGGGCGGUAGCCUGUUUCGCGUUCGCUUCGCGGCGUUACGCGAUUCAGACCCCUGGUUGCCUGACCGGCUGCUCGGCGGUACGCGCAUGGUAUCUGGCCGCAAAUAUCGAGCUGCGUCCGGCCCGUCGCAAGCGAGGCAAAUGUUUCCCGGUUGUACGGAUCUAACGCCGUCACCGGGCCUUGCCAGCUGUUGGUUGACGGUGUCCUAGGACAGGCCAAAAUGCAAUUAUGAUACCGGUCGGCGACGCUACUGCUUUGGGUACUUUCAGGACCCGUCUUGAAACACGGACCAAGGAGUCUAACAUGUGCGCGAGUCAUUGGGUAUUAUUAAGCCUAAAGGCGCAAUGAAAGUGAAGGUCGGCCUCGCGCCGACCGAGGGAGGAUGGGCCGCGUCACGAUGCGGUCCCGCACUCCCGGGGCGUCUCGUUCUCAUUGCGAGAAGAGGCGCACCCAG
This 638-nucleotide ribosomal RNA is filed under the name Xanthocryptus sp. RDB-2000. Its description in RNAcentral is "eukaryotic LSU rRNA". It matches the Rfam family "Eukaryotic large subunit ribosomal RNA", at positions 554 to 798 of the family's 3401-position model. Lineage: Eukaryota; Metazoa; Arthropoda; Insecta; Hymenoptera; Ichneumonidae. The record is from RNAcentral.